This 1243-nucleotide ribosomal RNA is filed under the name Vorticella sp. RNAcentral describes it as "SSU rRNA". It matches the Rfam family "Eukaryotic small subunit ribosomal RNA", at positions 1 to 1296 of the family's 1831-position model. Lineage: Eukaryota; Ciliophora; Oligohymenophorea; Sessilida; Vorticellidae. The record is from RNAcentral.
AAUCUGGUUGAUCCUGCCAGUAGUCAUAUGCUUGUCUCAAAGAUUAAGCCAUGCAUGUGUAAGUAUAAGUAUUAUACGGCGAAACUGCGAAUGGCUCAUUAAAACAGUUAUGAUUUAUUUGAUAAUCGAAAGUUACAUGGAUAACCGUGACAAAUUACAGCUAAUACAUGCAGUCAGACCUGGUCCAAGGGUCGUAAUUAUUAGUACCAAACCAAUUCCGCAAGGAAUGUGAUGAAUCAUAGUAAUCGAACGAAUCGCAGGUAUAUGCGAUAAGUCAUUCAAGUUUCUGCCCUAUCAGCUUUGGAUGGUAGUGUAUUGGACUACCAUGGCAGUCACGGGUAACGGAGAAUUAGGGUUCGAUUCCGGAGAGGGAGCCUGAGAAACGGCUACCACAUCUACGGAAGGCAGCAGGCGCGAAAAUUGCCCAAUCCUGACACGGGGAGGCAGUGACAAGAAAUAACAACUCUAGGUUUUCUUAGAAGUGUAAUGAGGAUAAUUUACAAACCUUACCAAAUGCAAUUGGAGGGCAAGUCUGGUGCCAGCAGCCGCGGUAAUUCCAGCUCCAAUAGCGUAUAUUAAAGUUGUUGCAGUUAAAAAGCUCGUAGUUGAAAUUCUGAUUGAUCGGGUCCUCAGCCUUUAGGCGAGGAUACCGACAGUCAUCCGCUUGCAAACAUUGCUCGAUUUUAACCGAUUGACUAUGUGAGUAAGCACUUUACCUUGAGAAAAACAGAGUGUUCCAGGCAGGUUUGUCCGGAAUGCAUUAGCAUGGAAUAAUAGAACAUGACUGAAGUCAAUUUAUUGGUUAGAGACUUUAGUAAUGAUUAAUAGGAACAGUCGGGGGCAUUCGUACUCAGCAGUCAGAGGUGAAAUUCUAAGAUUUGCUGAAGACGAACUAAUGCGAAAGCAUUUGCCAAGGAUGUUUUCAUUAAUCAAGAACGAAAGUUAGGGGAUCAAAGACGAUCAGAUACCGUCCUAGUCUUAACUAUAAACGAUACCGACUCGGAUUCAGAUGAAUCAAAAUGUUCAUUUGGGACCGUAGGAGAAAUCAAAGUCUUUGGGUUCUGGGGGGAGUAUGGUCGCAAGGCUGAAACUUAAAGGAAUUGACGGUUUUGCACCACCAUGGAGUGGAGUUUGCGGCUUAAUUUGACAACACUGGGAAACUCAUCAGGGCAAGAAGAUUUUAGGAUUGACAGAUUGAGAGUUCUUUCUUGAUUGGUCUAGUGGUGGUGCAUGGCCGUUCUUA